AUGAGGUCUUCUCAAGAGUUACAUAACUGCCCCCGAAGCCAGGGGGCAGGAGCAGGGCCAGCCGUGGGAGAUGUUUCCCAAGCGGAAUGCAGAGGAAGGACUGGCCUUGAGAAGAUGGGGAGCUGGCCAGGCCGUGGAAUGCUCCCAGCCUCGGGGCUUAAACAAAAACUGUAUUCAAAGGGUGAGGGCUCUGUUGAGAACAAACCCUGUCUGUCUCCCUGCUUUGUCUUGGGGGCUUAUCAAGGUGAACCUUUACCCUGUGGGGCACUGGUUAUUGAAUUUAGAGCCGGGCACGACUGCCAGAACCAGGCCCUGGUAAUCCUCCCAGCCAUCUCUAAUUAGCAGACUUUGGGGCAUCCUGAGGGCCAGGCAGAGGUGAGAUAAGAGCUCCAGCCUCAUCUGCUCACAGUAUCUUUGGGGGAGGAGAGUUGUGGGAGGGGCCACAGCUAAUCAGUGAAAGCUUGCUAAGGGCUCACUCUGUGGUCAUCCUUGGGGGAGGGAGGUAUCUGAUUGGUUCCUUCCCCUUGGGCACCUUGUAGCAGCUCUGUUUGCCACUCUCCCUGCCCACUAUCUUACUUGUGUGCAUGCUAAGUCGCUCAGUCGUGUCUGACUCUGAUCCCAUGGACUAUAGCCUGCCCGGCUCCUCUGUCCAAGGGAUUCUUCAAGCAAGAAUACUGGAGUGGGUUGCCAAGCCCCUCUUCAGGGGAUCUUUCCAACCUAGGGAUGGAACCUGCUUCUCUCAAGUCUCUUGCAUUCGCAAGCAGGUUCUUUACUACUAGCACCACUUGGGAAGCCCCCUGUCUUACUUGACUAAUGCUUUCUUUGCCUUCACACCUUAACUUAGAGUACUGAGCCCUAGAGCAGCAUUUUUCAAGCUGUAGGUCAUGACCCAUUAGUCGCUUGUCAUGACACCAUUAAAUUUAGUAGGUCACACCCAGCAUUAAAAGAAAGAAACCAUCCAAAUAUAUCUGAUGUAAUAAAGAUACCUGUUGUUUCAGUUACCUGUAUGAAAUGAAUUUAUAUUGGUGAUUGUAGUGAAAGAGAAAGAAAGAAAAUGGAAAGACUCUGGCUUAGAGGCUAUAUCUGGCUCAAUCUAGUGUAGGCAAGAGGAAUGUUUCUUAUUUCACUUAAGAAAUCCAGAAGUGGGGCAAGGCCUCAGGACACAGACUUCACUUGGAUUCAGGCUCCUCUUUGCCACCAAGGACACCAAGCCUUCAUGAGGGCUUUAUCCUCAGGCUGGUAGCAAGAUGAGUACAGAAGCUCCAUGUCAUAGCCAGAGAACAUUGCAGAAAGGAGAGACUGGCUUUCGUGACAGAAUGGGCAAAGGUGCUUGUAAUGUCGAAAACUGACAUUGACUAAUUUUUAGACUGUACAAGAAAUUCCUACAAACCAGGAAAAAAGAGAGCAACCCUAAGAGAAAAAUGGGCAGAAGAUAUGAACAUGCAAUUUAUAGAAGAGGUAACACUAAAAGCUAAGAAACAUAUGACAAAAUAUUCAAAAUCAUUAAAGAAUAUAAUGAUUAAUUAUAUUCUAAGUAUAUCAUUAAAGAAAUGAAUUCAAGUGAGAUUUGUGUGCUCGCAUG
Long non-coding RNA from Bos grunniens (domestic yak), 1582 nucleotides. The record is from Ensembl. NCBI's taxonomy places the organism in Eukaryota, Metazoa, Chordata, Mammalia, Artiodactyla, Bovidae.